GAUGAACGCUGGCGGCGUGCCUAAUACAUGCAAGUCGAGCGAACGGACGAGAAGCUUGCUUCUCUGAUGUUAGCGGCGGACGGGUGAGUAACACGUGGAUAACCUACCUAUAAGACUGGGAUAACUUCGGGAAACCGUAGCUAAUACCGGAUAAUAUUUUGAACCGCAUGGUUCAAAAGUGAAAGACGUUCUUGCUGUCACUUAUAGAUUGAUCCGCGCUGCAUUAGCUAGUUGGUAAGGUAACGGCUUACCAAGGCAACGAUGCAUAGCCGACCUGAGAGGGGGAUAGGCAACACGGGAACUGAGACACGGUCCAGACUCCUACGGGAGGCAGCAGUAGGGAAUCUUCCGAAAUGGGCGAAAGCCUGACGGAGCAACGCCGCGUGAGUGAUGAAGGUCUUCGGAUCGUAAAACUCUGUUAUUAGGGAAGAAAAUAUGUGUAAGUAACUGUGCACAUCUUGACGGUACCUAAUAAGAAAGCAACGGCUAACUACGUG
This 497-nucleotide ribosomal RNA is filed under the name uncultured bacterium. RNAcentral's name for it is "partial 16S ribosomal RNA". It matches the Rfam family "Bacterial small subunit ribosomal RNA", at positions 28 to 507 of the family's 1533-position model. The record is from RNAcentral.